AGCAGCCGCGGUAAUUCCAGCUCCAAUAGCGUAUAUUAAAGUUGUUGCAGUUAAAAAGCUCGUAGUUGAAUUUCGGGAUCAAUAUGUCGGUCGUGCCUUGGUACGUACUGGUAUCAUUGGUCUCUCCUUUCUGACGAACCAUGGUGUCAUUAAUUUGGUGUUAUGGGAAGUUAGGACUGUUACUUUGAAAAAAUUAGAGUGUUUAAAGCAGGCUUUAGCUUGAGUACAUUAGCAUGGAAUAAUGAAAUAGGACGUUCGAACCUAUUUUGUUGGUUUCUAGGAUCAACGUAAUGAUUAAUAGGGAUAGUUGGGGGCAUUAGUAUUCAAUUGUCAGAGGUGAAAUUCUUGGAUUUAUUGAAGACUAACUACUGCGAAAGCAUUUGCCAAGGAUGUUUCAUUAAUCAAGAACGAAAGUUAGGGGAUCGAAGACGAUCAGAUACCGUCGUAGUCUUAACCAUAAACUAUGCCGACUAGGGAUCGGAUGAUGUUAAUUUUUUAAUGUACUCAUUCGGCGCCUUAC
RNAcentral lists this ribosomal RNA (520 nucleotides) under uncultured Glomus. RNAcentral describes it as "SSU rRNA". It matches the Rfam family "Eukaryotic small subunit ribosomal RNA", at positions 569 to 1091 of the family's 1831-position model. Lineage: Eukaryota; Fungi; Glomeromycota; Glomeromycetes; Glomerales; Glomeraceae. The record is from RNAcentral.